AGCACCUAAAAGCGUUUUCAUGAUCGCUCUGAUGAAACGCGCUUGAAAAUCGUAGCUGUGUGCCAGAGCAAAUCUUGGUUGCAAGUGACUAUAAAAGUCCUUAGAGUCUGUAGUCCCUAACGCCGAGUACAUUA
This is a small nucleolar RNA of Drosophila busckii, 134 nucleotides long. It matches the Rfam family "Small nucleolar RNA psi28S-3316". From Rfam's summary of the family: psi28S-3316 is a member of the H/ACA class of snoRNA. This family is responsible for guiding the modification of uridine 3316 in Drosophila 28S rRNA to pseudouridine. The record is from Rfam. NCBI's taxonomy places the organism in Eukaryota, Metazoa, Arthropoda, Insecta, Diptera, Drosophilidae.